CUGGAUGGGUAGGGGAGCGUCGUGUGGGCAGUGAAGCGCCGGAGUGAUCCAGGCGUGGAGCCCACACGAGUGAGAAUGCAGGCAUGAGUAAC
This 92-nucleotide ribosomal RNA is filed under the name Odontella aurita. RNAcentral's name for it is "partial Archaeal large subunit ribosomal RNA". It matches the Rfam family "Bacterial large subunit ribosomal RNA", at positions 1220 to 1310 of the family's 2925-position model. The record is from RNAcentral. Lineage: Eukaryota; Bacillariophyta; Thalassiosirophyceae; Eupodiscales; Odontellaceae.